GACAACUGCCCAUCUACGUCAAAACCGGUCUUCGGAAAGGGAGCAGCGAUUGAGGAUGGCAGGCUGCAGCGUGGGGAUCAGAUCAUGCCGUGAACGGUCACAGUCUGGAGGGGGUCCCACCCCCGGCGCCGUCGCCAUACUGAAGAGGACCAAGGGAACUGUAGUCCUCACCGUACUCUCCUGAGUGUAGUCCUCGCACAACCGUCUGUCGCCCUUUGAUGAUGUCAUCAGCAGACUAUAUCAGGGUUGUGUUCGUCAGGAAACAGAGAAACAGGGAGGACUGUCUGAACUUUUUUCAAUAAGAAACAUUAAUUUAUGUGUUCUGUUGCAAAACGUUUUGCCUACGAUGUGCGCUAAUGAAUACGACCAUGUUUAUCUCUAGAAUGAGGUGAGGAGUCUCACAGAAAGAAUGUCUUCUAUAUGUCUUCUAGAUGUAACUGGUUCUCAUUGUAACAAAACGAUGAACCCUGUAAUGCCUUUCUAUGUGUCUAUGUACAUCAACACGGACUCAUCAUAGCAGACUACUGACAUCACUGUCUCCUUCUAACGGACCUCAUCAUAGCAGACUACUGACAUCACUGUCUCCUUCUAAACGGACCUCAUCAUAGCAGACUACUGACAUCACUGUCUCCUUCUAAACGGACCUCAUCAUAGCAGACUACUGACAUCAC
Molecule: non-coding RNA, 671 nt
Organism: Salvelinus sp. IW2-2015
Lineage: Eukaryota; Metazoa; Chordata; Actinopteri; Salmoniformes; Salmonidae
Source: RefSeq, a predicted model, not a curated record